AGCAAGGUCUUCAGGGUGUUUUGCUGAGGAAGAUCACCCAACCCAUUGGCUCUAUCAUCAUCAUCUCAGGAUUUCAUUAAUGGCAAUUCCCACAGGUACGCUUCCGCCUUUGGCUAUUCAUCAUGUAAUUGACAUGGAUUGUUGAGCACAGCGUUAUUAAGGUUUUUCCAACAAUUGGUAUCAGAGCCUACCAUGUUUAAUUCAUGAUGAAAUUCGGUUAUUGUCUUUGUUGUAAUUUGGGAAUUUGGGAAUUUUGAUAUAUAUAUUAUGGAAUCCAUAUUUUUAACGUGUUUGAAAAAUUAGGGUUUGUAAUUUGGGAAUUUGGGAAUUUUGAUAUAUAUAUAUUAUGGAAUCCAUAUUUUUAACGUGUU
RNAcentral lists this long non-coding RNA (371 nucleotides) under Cicer arietinum (chickpea). RNAcentral describes it as "long non-coding RNA (CARI_LNC002332)". Lineage: Eukaryota; Viridiplantae; Streptophyta; Magnoliopsida; Fabales; Fabaceae. The record is from RNAcentral.